Molecule: ribosomal RNA, 450 nt
Filed under: uncultured Glomeromycotina
Lineage: Eukaryota; Fungi; Glomeromycota
Description: SSU rRNA
Rfam family: Eukaryotic small subunit ribosomal RNA
Source: RNAcentral
AGCAGCCGCGGUAAUUCCAGCUCCAAUAGCGUAUAUUAAAGUUGUUGCAGUUAAAAAGCUCGUAGUUGAAUUUCGGGGUCAAUACGUCGGUCGUGCCUUCGGUACGUACUGGUGUUAUUGAUCUCUCCCUUCUGAUGAAUCAUGAUGUCAUUAAUUUGGUGUCGUGGGGAGUCAGGACUGUUACUUUGAAAAAAUUAGAGUGUUUAAAGCAGGCUCACGCUUGAAUACAUUAGCAUGGAAUAAUGAAAUAGGACGUUCGACCCUAUUUUGUUGGUUUCUAGGAUCAACGUAAUGAUUAAUAGGGAUAGUUGGGGGCAUUAGUAUUCAAUUGUCAGAGGUGAAAUUCUUGGAUUUAUUGAAGACUAACUACUGCGAAAGCAUUUGCCAAGGAUGUUUUCAUUAAUCAAAGAACGAAAGUUAAGGGGAUCGAAGACGAUCAGAUACCGUCGU